AUGCCACCUUCCGUGCACGACACGGAAGGCCUGCCGUUCAUGAAGCAUGGUUGUGUCUUCCGUGCGCACCGCCGGAUGAACGACAUGCUGGGACACGCUAUCCCUGAUUUAUGCCGCUUCAGCUUGGAUGAGUCUCCAUCGUGUGGAACCGGACUAGAAAGCUGUGACAAUGAUUCCCGUUUCCCACCGCCAUGGAUCGUGCCAUCCAUGAAGAACACCUGGGACUGGAACCUGGAGGAGGACAUCAGACGCAAAUGCGCUGGCCUUCAUGAUUCCAGGACCUGGAAUCAUACCAGCCAAUGGUACCAUAUAACUGGAAUUAACCCAUGCAAGUCGAAGAAGGAUUGGCCGGUGCUGCCGGCUGGCGUCAAGUUUGACCGCACAGAUCAGGAGCUGAUCGAGCACCUUGAGGCCAAAGUGAGUGCUGACAGCUCGAGAUCUCACCCUCUCAUCGAUUUGUUCAUACCAACCAUCAACAGCGAGCACGGCAUAUGCUACACCCAUCCUCGGAAAUUUCCAGGUAUCACACUGAGUGGCCUAAGCAAGCAUUUCUUCCAGCACAAUUCCAAGGCGUUCAAAAGGGGCACGUGGAUGCGUCGCAAGAUACAGUCGGAGUGCGGCAUGCACGCGAUGUGGCACAACACCGGCAAUACCUUGCCGGUGAUGGUCAACGAUCGGCAGACGGGCAGCAAAAAGGUUCUGGUGCUGCACACCAACAAGAACUUCGACCAGCAGAGGACCAACUGGGUGAUGCACCAGUACCACCUCGGGGACCUGGAGCAAGAGAAAGGGCGGGAGCUGGUCCUCUGCAAGAUUUUCUACUAG
RNAcentral lists this ribosomal RNA (825 nucleotides) under Triticum aestivum (bread wheat). RNAcentral's name for it is "partial small subunit ribosomal RNA". Lineage: Eukaryota; Viridiplantae; Streptophyta; Magnoliopsida; Poales; Poaceae. The record is from RNAcentral.